UGAAAUCUGGCUUUCGGGCCCGAGUUGUAAUUUGUAGAGGAUGAUUUUGAUGCGGUGCCUUCCGAGUUCCCUGGAACGGGACGCCAUAGAGGGUGAGAGCCCCGUCUGGUUGGAUGCCAAAUCUCUGUAAAUCUCCUUCGACGAGUCGAGUAGUUUGGGAAUGCUGCUCUAAAUGGGAGGUAUAUGUCUUCUAAAGCUAAAUACCGGCCAGAGACCGAUAGCGCACAAGUAGAGUGAUCGAAAGAUGAAAAGCACUUUGAAAAGAGAGUUAAAAAGUACGUGAAAUUGUUGAAAGGGAAGCGUUUAUGACCAGACUUGGGCUUGGUUAAUCAUCUGGGGUUCUCCCCAGUGCACUUUUCCAGUCCAGGCCAGCAUCAGUUUUCGCCGGGGGAUAAAGGCUUCGGGAAUGUGGCUCCCCUCGGGGAGUGUUAUAGCCCGUUGUGUAAUACCCUGGUGGGGACUGAGGUUCGCGCUUCUGCAAGGAU
RNAcentral lists this ribosomal RNA (485 nucleotides) under Fusarium graminearum. Its description in RNAcentral is "eukaryotic LSU rRNA". It matches the Rfam family "Eukaryotic large subunit ribosomal RNA", at positions 116 to 624 of the family's 3401-position model. Lineage: Eukaryota; Fungi; Ascomycota; Sordariomycetes; Hypocreales; Nectriaceae. The record is from RNAcentral.